This 253-nucleotide ribosomal RNA is filed under the name uncultured bacterium. Its description in RNAcentral is "partial 16S ribosomal RNA". It matches the Rfam family "Bacterial small subunit ribosomal RNA", at positions 524 to 776 of the family's 1533-position model. The record is from RNAcentral.
UACGUAGGGGGCAAGCGUUGUCCGGAAUCAUUGGGCGUAAAGAGCGCGUAGGCGGUCCGGUAAGUCCGCUCUGAAAGUCCGGGGCUCAACCCCGGGAGGCGGGCGGAUACUGUCGGGCUAGAGUCCGGAAGAGGCGAGUGGAAUUCCUGGUGUAGCGGUGAAAUGCGCAGAUAUCAGGAGGAACACCAGUGGCGAAGGCGGCUUCCUGGACCGGUUCUGACACUGAGGAGCGAAAGCGUGGGGAGCGAUCCGG